Molecule: long non-coding RNA, 2409 nt
Filed under: Nicotiana tabacum (common tobacco)
Lineage: Eukaryota; Viridiplantae; Streptophyta; Magnoliopsida; Solanales; Solanaceae
Description: long non-coding RNA (NTAB_LNC011584)
Source: RNAcentral
UCUCUCUCUCUCUCUCUCUCUCUCUCUCUCUCUCUCUCUCUCUCUCUCUCUCUCUCUCUCUCUCACACACACACACACACACACACACACACAUAUAUAUUGGAUAGGCAUGCAUUAGGCAAUAAGCUGGUUCCCUUUCUAUGUUAAAUGCUUAAUUUUGGCAAAUUUGUAGAAGAAACCAAAAAGGUAGAAAACCAGAAAUAGAAGUAGUAACUCAUACAACUUAGAGUCGCCGGUUUAAUACAGCUCAAUUGAUUUUCUUGCAUCUUCAUACAUGCUGUUUAAAUUAGAUAUACCAGAUGAAUAUAGGUACUUAGACAUAAAAAAAGAUACUGGCAGUUUGCUGGGAAAGAGAUUAAGGAAUCAUAAGGUUGCCAUACAUAUUAUUUUGCUAUGCUUUGUACCUAAGAUAAUAUCAUAUUAAUUUGGAACCUAAAGAAUAAUCCCCUAUGUUUGCCCAGCAAAAAGCUUCGUGAUAUUAUUAGGAUUGCCACUUUACGGACAAGGCUUUCUGAACUUAUAGGUUAUUUGUUGAUCAUUCAACCCAGAGAUUUGUAGUUCUAAGAAUACAGCUUCUAGUAGAGGGUAAAAAAGAAAUGAACUUAACUAAAUCAUCUUUCAGAUGACACAAUACAUAUCAAGUUGUGCUUAAAAGCAAAGCUAACAGCAGAAGGUGCUUAAGCUAUGUAUAUACACCUUUUUAUAUGUCAAUUGUACAUCUCCUUGUGUAUGGAGACAUUAAUCAAUUUCUGAUGAAAAGCUAGGACAAACAGAUAUAUUUAUAUGAAUAUCAUUGAUUCUGCCAACAUCUCUUGAGAGCUAUACCAUUAGAUGCAUUUUUAAAUAAAAAUAUUGAUAAAGCUCCAGUACACCAUUCUUAACUGUGAAAUUAGUACAUGUGUUUCUUCCACUUCUGUUUCCUUAUCCACAAUACAUUUAAAAGUUUGACAUGCAAAAGAGUUUGCCAUAAUCUUGACCUUAGAAUAUAUGACGCGUGUGUUUAUGCCAGGGUUGUGAAAAGCGAGAAGUGAAGCGUAGCGACCACUUACCCGCUUCUGUUAUAUGAAGCGACUCAGUUAGACAAAAGCGUGCGCUUCUUCUUCUUCAACAGAGAUUCAGCGGCAACAGGUAUGCAAUGAUUUCUUCCUUCUUUCUUUUCUUCUUCUUCUUCUUUCACUGUUUCAGCGUCCAAAUAGCAUUGAAAUGUCGGCGAAUUUUUUUUUUACCUUCGGUUCUUCUUUCUAAGUCUUCUCUUCUUCAUAUAAUGCUGAUCUUCUAACAUUCUUCUGCUGAUCUUAAUUUUCAAGUAUUUGCAUUACUUUUUAUGGUACACACUGAUAAGAUUGUGGCACGUCAUUAACUUAAAAAAAUUCAUUGUUCUUGCUAAAUCUAAUAGCCACUAUUUGUUAAAAUCUACUGGUGUGACAUACACUGAGGGCUUGUGAGAAACUUUAUAAAUCUAACCAUGUUCAAGUAUUGCUUGUUUCUGAGCCGUAGUAUGUUCAAUUGUUGGUUGUAAUGUUGUUUUUCGUAAUAGCAUAUUCUUCUGUUGUUUUGGUUCAAUAGCCGUCAGACUUAAUAUUGUUUAGGUGAUGUUGUUUUGUGAUGUAAUAAUGUUCGAAGAUGUUAAGGCAGAUUGUAUUACUUAAAAAAAAAAGACCGGAGAGUUGUUUGCUUUGGUUUGUCUGUUGCAGAUUCUGGUUUGUUGUAUGUUGCUUAAAGUAUAGCUACUCAUCUUGUGAUUUGUGGAUGGAUCUUAGGUUCUGCAUGAAAAUUGUAUCAUGUUUUGAGCAGGAUGAAAAAUUUGGAAUAGUCGUAUUUACAAAUGAUGUUUUGAGCAGGUUGAAAAUUUUGGGAUAGUCAUAUUUACAAAGGAAACUUUGCUGAAAAAUCAAAGAUUUUUGAGAGUUUGAAAAUUUUCGAGUUAUCAAAUUGGUCAUUCAAUUACUUUGUGAUUCAAUUAUCCUCAAAAUUUUGUUUAAUUAUUUCUCAUUAUCUUUUGUAGGUGCAACGAUUGCGGAUGAAAGCAGUGACGGAGACCUUAAUUGAGUAUUGUUGAUCGUUGUUAGACUUUCUAUUAUUAUGUUCAAGGAUAUUUUAGUUUUAGAACUUUUUGUAUGCAAACUCAUCUAUUUUGACUUUUGAAUUGUUGAUCAAACAAUGUAUUCAUAUUUUGUUUUUGUAUAUGGAUAAUGCUAGUUGGAUAUUUUAAUUUUAUUUCGUGGUUUAUAUAAGAUAUGGUGUAAACAAUUUCAUAGAAUAGGAAAAUAUUUCUCAUUUUGCUUCCAUAAAUAUCAGAAAUUAUAAUUUGUUGCAAUAGAGAAUAUAACCGUUCCGAUAGACCUAACAAAUAAUAAGAGCAGCCCCUAAUAGCCGUUACAAUAUGUUAUAAUAUCCGUUGCAAUAGGG